RNAcentral lists this ribosomal RNA (253 nucleotides) under uncultured bacterium. RNAcentral describes it as "partial 16S ribosomal RNA". It matches the Rfam family "Bacterial small subunit ribosomal RNA", at positions 524 to 776 of the family's 1533-position model. The record is from RNAcentral.
UACGAAGGGGGCUAGCGUUGCUCGGAAUCACUGGGCGUAAAGGGUGCGUAGGCGGGUCUUUAAGUCAGGGGUGAAAUCCUGGAGCUCAACUCCAGAACUGCCUUUGAUACUGAAGAUCUUGAGUUCGGGAGAGGUGAGUGGAACUGCGAGUGUAGAGGUGAAAUUCGUAGAUAUUCGCAAGAACACCAGUGGCGAAGGCGGCAUCCUGGACCGGCAUUGACGCUGAGGCGCGAAAGCCAGGGGAGCAAACGGG